RNAcentral lists this non-coding RNA (216 nucleotides) under unclassified sequences. RNAcentral's name for it is "RT-2 RNA". It matches the Rfam family "RT-2 RNA". From Rfam's summary of the family: Coriobacteriales (Actinobacteria), Clostridiales (Firmicutes). Downstream gene The record is from Rfam by way of RNAcentral.
ACGGGUCAAAUGCAGUAGGAAACGAACCGGACCCUUUGUGAAAGGAGAGAUACUUCCCUGGCGAGAGCCUAAAACUGCCCUUUGUGGCCCCUGCACGGACGCUGCUUGCAUGGCGGGGUUAUUGUGCUACCCCCGUUUCAUGUGCCGGGGCUACGCGGUUUAGCCGCACACCUACACCACAACCGCACGGAGGCGCGAAUACUUAUUAUGACCAGC